CCGGCCCGGCCCCCGCUCGGACGGUGCGGCAGCCGCCGAGAGCAGCCGAGAGUCCCGUGGACGCGAGCGGAAUACUGAUGCUGGUGGGGAGCGGGAGGAGGAGGAGGAGGAGGAGGAGGAGGGAGGAGGAGGGAGGGCGCCGAGGGGAGAGUGGCCGGGGAAGCUGGGGAGGGAGGGCAGGAGAGGAGGCGAGGAAGGGGGAGGGGGCACGGGGAGGGAGAGGGGAGAGGGAGGAUGGAGGGAAGGGGAGCCAGAGCCGAGGGGGGGAGGGAGGGAGCAAAGGAGGAAGGGAGGGAGGAGGAGAGGCAAGGAGGAGGGAGAAGAGAGAGAAAGGGGAGUAGAGAAGAGAAGGGGUUAUAGGGGAAGAGGGAGGGGAAGCGGCGGUGUGGUGGAGGGAGAAGGGGGCUGGGGCUCGAACUUGGAGAACUCUGAGACCUCCAUGGAGUGGAUGGGAUGGAGGGGACCUGAUGGGUGCUGCGGGAAAAGUGGGGAAGAGGGAGGCGGGAAAGCGGGAGAGCAGUGGAGGAGAGAUGGGGGGUUGGGGGGUGGGGAGGACGGGAAGGAAUGGGUUGGGGGAAAAGGAAAGCCAAAGAAGUAUUAGGAGAGGGCCGGAUCCAAGUGGGAAGGAUGAGAGUUGAUGCUCUCACGGAGCCAGAAGUGGCCUGACAGGGAUGUCAGGAGGGAACUGAGGCAGGAUCAGUGGGUGGGUGGUAUAGAGAGGCCUGGAGGAGGCCGCAGAGCUGGGGAGGUAUUGGGAAGCCAGGACAAGGGGGAGCGUUUCUUGACGUCCACUGUUAGCCGUCUCCUCAUCUGAUGAGAAGGAUGGAGCCUCAGAUCAGUCUCCAUUCUAGGAAGGGCUUUGGAGGGAGUUUCUCACGAGGGGAGUGGGGCCUGGCUUCUCACAGGGGGAAUGAGCAGGGUUGCUGGCUCUCACCCCCUGCCCGGGACCUGUGCGGAGUAGAGGCAAAGCCCAGCCCCCUCCACACUCUCACCUUCCCGGGUGCAGGCAGAGGGUGCUGGGACACACUGAGAGGUGUGAAGCUGGUGCCAGCCUAGGGGAGAGGGGGGAGGGCUGGAAGCUUGAGAGAGGUCACAAGGACGUCAGUCUUCUCCACUCAUCACUGGGUGUUCUCACCUGCUCUCUGCCCCCGCCCCCAAAGCUGGGCACUGAGGAAGAGGCUUGGGACAGAGGGACCCAGUGUAAAAGGCAGGCAGAAGUUUCCCUAUCUCUGCCUCCCCCAAGGUGGGGGAAAAAGAAACCUGGCUACUAACUUAGGACAGGGAAGAGGGGAAGGGAUGAAGAUGCCUUCUCUCAGGACCAGGGUCCUUGUUCUGAAAACCCUCAGGGGUCCAAGAGACUAGGAGAUUGGCCCUGCCUCUGAAGCAGGCAGCCGCAGGGGCCAGCCCUGGGACUGGAAGGGAAGGGGCCACACAGACAUUUGCUGAGAGCCGGAACCGAACUUGCUAGGCGGUGACCCAGGGCUCACAGAGGGGUGAGGUCAUGGGAGGAUGCCUUAGAAACAGCUGGGGUGGGUAGUGGGGGACACACAGAACGGAAAGCCACAGGCACAACCAAAGAGAGGAGGGCUUAGCCAGGACCAGAGCCCGGUAGGUGCCUCCUGGCAGUGCUGAAAUCUGGUUAGGAGCCUGGAUGAGAGACUCUUGGUGAGACUCAGGGUCUUUGCUGACACCACGGACUCUUGGCUGUCUGCUGUGGAACAGGGCCGUCUGCUUGAGGAUCAGCUGCCAGGAAUGUGGGCUUGUGGCUGUUGAAGGUCUGCAGUUCCCUGCACAUCCAGCCAGUGGCUACAAGAGGGUCCGGGAAGCCUCUAGUUCUUCUGGAAUCUCAGGCUUGCCUGUCCCAGCAGAGGAGGGUGGUUGUCAUUGCUAGAGGAGGCCUGGGCAAGCCACUGAGCCUGGGAAACUCACCCUCUAGGGAACAGGGUGACUCAAGGGCCUCUUCUAGAAAGCUCACACGCCAUGCAGAGAGUGAAAGGCAGAAAGGAGGAAGAAGCUGGUGGGGGAAUGAAGCUGAGGAGACUCACAGGCCUGGAAGAGGUGACUUUGCAUCCACACCUGGAUGCUCAGGAGAAAGUAGGAACAGGCAGGAAGGGGCCAUCAGAUGACAGCGAUUGGGGGUGGAGGGUGGGGGAGUCUGUCUGAAAGGCUGAGAAAAGUGGAGACACAGAAAGGCAGGAAGAGCCGAGCAGAAUCACUUCACAAUGUGAUGCCAACUUCCAUGCCACCCGGUUCUGAGGAUGGAUCCAGUUUGACAAGUACAGUGUCAACCUCCAUGCCACCUCAGUUCCACCCUGAUGCCUGAGGCUAACCUUCAGCCAAGGCUAGUCCUGAUUAGCGGCAACCUUGAAACGGUCUCAUGUAGCCCAGGGUAGCCUCAAACUCACAAUGUAAAGGAGGAUGGCUUUGAACUUCUGAUCCUCCUGCCUCCACUUUCCAAACGCUAAUGACAGUCAUGUGUCACCAUGCCUGGUGCGGGGUAUGGAACCUAGGGUUGCAAGUGUUCUAGGCAUAUGCUCUACUGACUGAGUCCCAGCCUCAUCUAUUCAAUGUUUUCAACAUGGCCUUGAACACACCGGAACCUGUGGUAGGUGAGCCUUAUGGUUCGGGUUUGAGAAGCCUCAGCCCCAGGGCUCAUGCUUUGAACACUGGGUCCCCAGCUGGUGGCACUGUUUUGAUGGCAACCAGAAGUGGGUCACUGGGGUUGGCCUUUGAUGGUCUAGUUCUCCACUUCUCAGUCCCUGCCACAUGAAUAGCUUCAGCCUCCUGCCUCAGUGCUAGGUAUCCUCUCAGGACAGACGGAAAAUCCUUAGUAUCAGCACCCCCAUGAUGCACUGAAGCCCCUCAACAUCAGCCCCUCAGAACACACUGACCCCCCCAUUAGGCCUCCUCCCCAGGGCACACUGAAAGUCCCCAACAACAGCUCCCCCUGUGACUCACUGAAACUCCUUAGAAACCAUGAGUUUUUGCUCCUGAACCAUCAGAACAGCUGUAUAGUAGGAGACGGUGGCCGCGAUCCUUCAAGUCACAAAGGCUUGGAGAGAUACAUGGUCUCAAAACACCAGGCUAGAGGACUCAGUGCCUGCAUUCACUCCCAGGAUCCAUGGAAAAGGCACUGUGGUGGUGGCAUGCACCAGCAAUCCCAGCCCGAGCAAAAGGAGAGAGGAGGGUCCUCUGGGCUGGCUGGGCAGCCCAUUCAGCCAAAUCAGGUUCAGCAAGAGACCCUGGCUCACAAGCAAGUGGAGGGGCUGCAGAGAUGGCUCAGUGGUUAAGAGCACAGGCUGCUCUUCUCGAGGACUCCAUUCCCAGCACCCACAUGGCAGCUCAUAACUGUCUCUAACUCCAGUCUUAGGAGAUUUAAUGCUCUCUUCUGGCCUCUGAGGGCACUAGGCACUCGAGGUGCAUGUACAUACAUACAGGCAAAGCACUCACACACAUAAAACUUAAAAAAGCCAAAGAGCAACUGAGAAACACAUUUGACAAUGACUUCUGGAUUCCACAUGCACAUACACACAACUGUACACACACACAUACACAAGCCUGCAUGCAUAUACAUAUGCACAUAUACACACCUGUGCAUAUAUGCACAAAUACACCUACACAUAUACAUACACACCCACAUAUGCACACAGGUACACAAGCCUGCACACACACCUGCACCACAUGUGCACAUGUACCUACCUGUACAUACACACACCUGUACACAUACAUACCUGCACAUGUGUGCAUACACACCUGCACAUACAUGUGCACAUAAACACAUCUGUACAUACAUAUGCACAUAGAAGCAUGUAUGUGUACCCACAUAAGCACAUACAAACAUGUAUUGUGCACACACAUGCAUGCAAACAAAAACAAACCCAGGUUAGGGCUAGGCAGCUCAUAAUCCCAGCACUCAUGAGGUUGAGGCAGGAGGAGAGAGAGUUUGAGUCCAGCCUGACCUAUGUGUUGAGAUCCUGUCUCAAAAUACAACAUCAAAAAGGCAGAGGGGAGGCCGGGGAGAAUGUUCAGUGGGUAGAAGCUCUUGCCACCAAACCUGGUGACCUGAGUUUGAUUCCUGGAGCCUCCGUGGCGAAGGGAGAGAACCUCCUCCUAGUGGUGAUCUCUGCCCUCCGUGUGUGACCUUUACAUGGUGAGACCAGCAAGGGCUCUGCCAGCUUCUGAGCUGAUGGACGUCCUAAGGCUGCCACGCCAGGAGGAAGCUCAGCCUCCCAAGAGAGGCCUCCCCUAACCCUGCCUCUUUGCCUUCUCCAAAGGAAAUCAAGGGCCGGAACUGCCCAGCCGAGUCCUUCCCUAACUCCUGACUUACAGGAAGCUUAAGGUAGAGUGAAAUGGUUUUGCUGUGAAGUCCUGGGGGGUGAUUUGUCACACAGCAGUAGGUGACUGCAGUUAUGGGUAACACAAACAAAUCUCUCAUUUAUCUUGGCCAAUGUGAAGCCUUUUUCAGGGAGUAGAAAGUGUGACUGGAAUGAGCAAGGUGAGUACCAUCUUCAACUUGAUUUCCAUACGAAAUUUCCUACAUGCCUUGGGGAGAUGGCUGCUUCCAUCUCUAGGGUAGGGCAAAUGAUCUAGAGAAAGCUUCUGUCUUAGUUAGGGUUUCUAAACAAAACAAAACAAAAACAACAAAAAACUAUGACCAAAAAGCAAAAGCAAGUUGGGCAGGAAAGAAAGGGUUUAAUUGGCUUAUACUUCCAGGUCACUGUCCAUCAUUGUAGGAAGUCAGAACAGGAACUCAAGCAGGGCUGGAACCUGGAGGCAGGAACUGAUGCAGAGGCCAUGGAGGGGUGCCGCUCACUGGCUUGCUUCCCCUGGCUUGCUCAGCCCACUUUCUUAUAGAACCCAGGACCAGCAGCCCAGGGAUGGCCCCACCUACAAUGGACUGGACCCUCCCCCAUUGAUCACUAGUUGAGAAAAUGCCUUUCAGCUGGGUCUCAUGGAGGCAUUUCCUCAAGUUAGGUUCCUUCCUCUCUGAUGACUCUAGCUUGUGUCAAGUUGGCACACAAACCAGCCAGUACAGCUUCUGUACCAGAAAGUGCAUAUACUAAUAGGCGGUCAUAUCAAAAGGGCACGGGAGCCCAUGGAGCCCUCUGGAAUGGGCUCCCACUCACAAAUAUGGGGACAAUGUGAGAGUCAAAAAGAAUAAAAGGUAUUGGUGUGUGUGUGUGUGUGUGUGUGUGUGUGUGUGAUGCAUGUGUGUAUGUGUGUACAUACAUAUGCACAUUAUUUAGGCUAGCAUCAAUGUGACAGUGCACUCAUGGAAAGAGCGAUGGGUCAUGACCAAUUGACAUCUUCUGCUUGUUUUUUUUAGGCAGGGUCUCAAGUAGCCUAGGCUAGCCUCAAACUCCCUAGGUAACUGAGGAUAGCCAUGAACUCCUGAUUGUCCUGCCUUAGCCUAUGAACACUAGCACAAUGGGCCUUGAAGUUUAUAGCACAAUCUGCCUUUAGUUCUCUCUGUUUCCUGCUCUGCCAAGAUGUGCAGCACUAUAGUCCUGUGAGUGAACAGCCUCAUGCUCUGCAACCACAGCCAUGAAACAGCCACCACCACGCCUGCCCUGCCAUGCUGGACUGGACCUUCAAACUGUAAGCCAAACCAACCUCCCACCCUUAGGUUGCUUCUUGUUAGACUUAUGGUCACAACAAAGAGAAAAGUAACCCCAGCACUAAUGUCAUCUUACAGGAAUUAGACCCAGGAACAUGUCAGAAAACAUGAAACCCAGAGUGUGGGGCAUUCUUGAGGACAACCAGCAUACAAGUUCAAUAACACUGUGCCAAUAACUACUGUCACAGGUCUAUCAUUCCAGCUGCUUGAGAGGCUCAGACAGGAAGACCAUAAGUACAAGGCCAGUCUGGUCUACAGAAUGAGUUCAAGGAUAGCCUGAGCAACUUAGGAAGACCCUACGUAAAAAUAAGUAAAAAGAGGGGCAGGGAUGUAACUCAUUGGUAAGCCCCUGCCUAAAAUUCCCCAGUGAGGGGCUGGGGCGUGGCUCAGUGGUAGAGCCUCUGCCUAGAAUCCCCCAGUGAGGGGCUGGGGCGUGGCUCAGUGGUAGAGUCCCUGCCUAGAAUCCCCCAGUGAGGGGCUGAGGGUGUAACUCAGUGGUAAUUCACUUGCCAGGCAUACUUGUGACCCUCGACUCAAUCUUUGGUUUCUUAAAAAGUAUGGAAAGCCUAUUCUAGUCUGAGAUUACAGAGCUCACCCAGGAGCAGUGUGUGGUUCCUGCUGCCAUCCCAGUUUAGAGAAUCUUUGUAUUAAUGUUUUUCUAGAUUUUUUCUUUUUUUGAGGAUUUUUUUUAUGUGCACUGGGUGUUUUGCUUUAUUUUGUCUGCAUGUGUGUCUGUGUGAGUGUGCCAGAUCCCCUGGAACUGGAGUUACAGACAGUUGUGAGAUGAAUGUGGGCUCUGGGAUUGAACCCGGGAAGAGCAGCCAGUGUUCCUAACUGCUGAGCCUUUUCAGCCCUGUAUUAAAUUUUUAUGAUUUGUCUGUGUGUGAGACGUUUUGCCUGCAUGUAUGUCUGUGCACCAUUUGUGUGCAGUGCCCAUUGGAGCCAUAGAAGGAGCUGGAUCCUCUGGAAUUGUAGGGAGCUGCCAUGUGGGUGCUGGUAAUUGUCCUCUGUAAAAGCAGCCAGUGCUCUUAACAGCAGAGCCAUCUCUCCAGCCCCUAUUUAAAGGCCUAGGAGGUAGUCUUUGGACAACUGGCAUGGUGUGAACUUGGACUUCCUUAGGAGCAUCCGUGAGCUGGUGCCACUGCUGUUAGAGAUGACACUGCACUCACCGGACAGCGUUCUUCCUCUCUGGAGGGUCUCGUGGAAACACGAGUGUCUGACAAGUUCACAAUGACGAAUGUAAGCUGUGGGUGUUACAGUUUCCAAAGAAAUGCCAGGUUUGAAUGCUUGGUCCCCAGUUGGUGGUGCUGUUGUGGGAAACUGUAGAACCUUUAGGAGGAAGUGGGCCACAGGGGGUGGAACUUAUUUACAUCUUUGCCUGUUGUGGAACAGAAUAUUUGUUUAAUUAUGUAAAGAUGUGUUGCUGUUUCACCUUGCCUGCCCAAGGUACCUGAUUGGUCUAAUAAAAAGCUGAACAGCCAAUAGCCAGGCAGAAGAGGGAUAGGCAGGCCUGGUGGGCAGAGAGAAAAGGGGAACCAGCCAGACAGCCAGGGAUAGAUAGCUGGGGUCCAGCCAGCCAGACACAGAGGAAGCAGGAAAGCAGGAUGGACAGUACAUAGAUGAGGUAAACAAGCCUCGGGGUAGCACACAGAGUAAUAGAAAUGGGUUAAUUUAAGUUUUUUUAAAAAAGCUAGCUAGAAACAAGCCUAAGCUAAGGCUGAACAUUAAUAAUUAUAAGUCUCCAUGUCAUGGUUUGGGGCCUGGCAGUCUGGGAAAUCCUGCCACAUUUGCCCUACUUCCUGCCCCAUCUCUGCUUUCUGAUCUGUCCAGAUGUGCAGAGUCUUGGCCCCUGCUCCCUCUGCCAUGGAACCACGUGCUGCUGUGUCUUCCCUCCAUGACAGGCUGCGCCUCUUCAAACCACGAACCAUGCCCCUGGUGACCUUGUUGAUUCUGAGGGGCCACACAGGAUACCUGGUGAGGAAGCUUUGGGAGCCCAUGUACACUCGGCAGCGUUCCCAGGCCUAUGCUCCCUCCACUUUGCAAUGCUAUGAGUACAGACCAGGGAACAAGCCUGACGUGGCAGUCCAUGAGGUGACUGUGACCAAGGACCCAACACUGGACAUAGCCCAGGAGGCAGCUGUACACAGACACUCAGCAUUGGAUGGAGCCGAGAGGUGACUGUGUGCACGGAGAAGAGGCCUGAUCCUAGAGGGAGAGACACAGGAGGUGAUUCUUCCUUUCCCUGCACUUCUGGGAAGCGAGAAUUACCAUCCUUGCCUUGGAACAGAAGUGCAGCCGUGGGGCCUCUUCAUGAGCCCAGACAGCCCACCUGGGAGGGUUUGAAGGGGAACGGAACUUGCAGUGUGGAGGAACUACAGCAGGCAGGUGCAGUCGGCCUUUUUGGCAGGAUUGUCAGCUCCUAAUAGCGACACAGAGACUUGAUUUUUUAUUUAUUUAUUUUUGGUUUUUCGAGACAAGGUUUCUCUGUGUAGUUUUUGAUGCCUGUCCUGGAUCUCACUCUGUAGCCCAGGCUGGCCUCGAACUCACAGAGAUCCACCUGGCUCUGCCUCCCAAGUGCUAGGAUUAAAGGUGUGCGCCACCGCCACCCGUCAAGACUUAUUAUUAAUUAUGAAAGCUCAGCCAAAAGCUUAGGUUUGUCCUACUGGCUCUUAUAACUUAUAUUAGCCCAUUUUUAUUAAUUUACUUUCUGCCUCAUGGCUUUAUUACCUCAUCUCUGUACUGCCCAUCCUGCUUGCUCUGCGUCUGGCUGGUGACUCUGCCUAUCUUCUUCCCAGAGUCCUCUCUGCCUGGAAAUCCUGCCUAGCUAUUGGCCGUUUGGCUCUUUAUUAAACCAAUCAGACUGA
Peromyscus californicus insignis is the source of this 8481-nucleotide long non-coding RNA. RefSeq lists it as uncharacterized. The record is from RefSeq and is a predicted model, not a curated record. The transcript is spliced from 3 exons. NCBI's taxonomy places the organism in Eukaryota, Metazoa, Chordata, Mammalia, Rodentia, Cricetidae.